This 749-nucleotide ribosomal RNA is filed under the name uncultured Capnocytophaga sp. RNAcentral's name for it is "bacterial SSU rRNA". It matches the Rfam family "Bacterial small subunit ribosomal RNA", at positions 28 to 776 of the family's 1533-position model. Lineage: Bacteria; Pseudomonadati; Bacteroidota; Flavobacteriia; Flavobacteriales; Flavobacteriaceae. The record is from RNAcentral.
GAUGAACGCUAGCGGCAGGCCUAACACAUGCAAGUCGAGGGAGAGGUUACCUUCGGGUAAUCAAAACCGGCGCACGGGUGCGUAACGCGUAUACAAUCUGCCUUUCACAUAGGGAUAGCCCGAAGAAAUUUGGAUUAAUACCUAAUGGUAUAUAAGAGCGGCAUCGUUUUUAUAUUAAAGCUACGGUGGUGAAAGAUGAGUAUGCGUUCUAUUAGCUAGUUGGAGAGGUAACGGCUCCCCAAGGCGACGAUAGAUAGGGGUUCUGAGAGGGAUGUCCCCCACACUGGUACUGAGAUACGGACCAGACUCCUACGGGAGGCAGCAGUGAGGAAUAUUGGACAAUGGUCGGAAGACUGAUCCAGCCAUGCCGCGUGCAGGAUGAAGGUCCUAUGGAUUGUAAACUGCUUUUGUAAGGGAAGAAUAAGGGGUACGUGUACUUUGAUGACGGUACCUUACGAAUAAGCAUCGGCUAACUCCGUGCCAGCAGCCGCGGUAAUACGGAGGAUGCGAGCGUUAUCCGGAAUCAUUGGGUUUAAAGGGUCCGUAGGCGGGCUGAUAAGUCAGAGGUGAAAGCGCUUAGCUCAACUAAGCAACUGCCUUUGAAACUGUCAGUCUUGAAUGAUUGUGAAGUAGUUGGAAUGUGUAGUGUAGCGGUGAAAUGCUUAGAUAUUACACAGAACACCGACAGCGAAGGCAUAUUACUAACAAUUUAUUGACGCUGAUGGACGAAAGCGUGGGGAGCGAACAGG